This 481-nucleotide non-coding RNA is filed under the name Cryptosporidium parvum. Lineage: Eukaryota; Apicomplexa; Conoidasida; Eucoccidiorida; Cryptosporidiidae. The record is from RNAcentral.
AAAUCAUGAAGAAUAUCCUUACUUGAACCGGAUAAUCCUCUUAAUAGUCCUCUAAGAUCAUCUUUUCCCCCUCUUCUCUUUUUCUUUUUAUUAUUUCCAUUUCGUUGUUUUUUAUUUGAAUCUGUUUUUUUACCUUUUUGCCUAUUUUCAUUUCUAUUAUGAUCUUCUUCUUCUUCUUCUUCUUCUUCUUCUUCCUCCUCCUCAUCCUCUUUAUUAUCGUUUUUAUUAUUAGAAUUUUGAUAAGGACCAUCUAAUGGCUCAUCAAAUGGGUCUGAACUAAGAUUACUUGGAUCUCUCGUUUGUGGAGUUGAAGAUAAUUGAUGAUGAUGAUGAUGAUGAUGAUGAUGAUGAUGGUAAAUAGAGCAAUUUCCAGCACCACCUUUUUUUGAUAAAUUCACAUUCUUAAGUACUGGCUUUUUACCACCACUACCUCCUCCACCCCUACCUCCACCUCUACUCGAACAUUUUUUAUUACUAUUAC